GGGUCAGUAGGUUGGUCGUGCCACCGGUACGUACUGGUCUCACUGAUUCCUCCUCCCUGAAGAACCGUAAUGCCAUUAAUUUGGUGUUGCGGGGAAACAGGACUGUUACUUUGAAAAAAUUAGAGUGUUUAAAGCAAGCUAACGCUUGAAUACAUUAGCAUGGAAUAAUGAAAUAGGACGAUCGAUCCUAUUUUGUUGGUUCCUAGGAUUGACGUA
This 216-nucleotide ribosomal RNA is filed under the name Glomeromycotina sp. RNAcentral's name for it is "partial small subunit ribosomal RNA". The stretch from base 75 to 216 matches the Rfam family "Eukaryotic small subunit ribosomal RNA", at positions 721 to 864 of the family's 1831-position model. Lineage: Eukaryota; Fungi; Glomeromycota. The record is from RNAcentral.